RNAcentral lists this ribosomal RNA (1098 nucleotides) under Triticum aestivum (bread wheat). Its description in RNAcentral is "partial small subunit ribosomal RNA". The record is from RNAcentral. Lineage: Eukaryota; Viridiplantae; Streptophyta; Magnoliopsida; Poales; Poaceae.
CAGAAUGUGGUCAUUAAGUUCGAAGGAUUGGAGUUUCACGCAAAUCUUAUUGUGUUGGAAAAUAAAGGACUGGAUGUCAUCCUAGGGAUGGAUUGGCUGACCACCAACAAGGGUUUUAUCGACUGUUUCAACAGGACCGUAAUUAUCACACACCACCAAGGGAAGACAAUAAGAGUAUCAGCCAAGGAAGGAAAAAUAUCCCGGCAACCGAGAUUAAAUAAGGUGGACGUUUCUGAGCUAAACAAGGUUCCAGUAGUGUGUGAAUUUCCAGAUGUAUUCCCUGAAGAACUACCAGGCAUGCCACCAGACCGAGAAAUAGAAUUCCGCAUUGAGCUAGCACCAGGAACCACCCCCAUAUACAAGAAACCAUACAGAAUGGCACCAUCCGAGUUGAUCGAGUUGAAGAAACAAAUAAAGGAAUUACUGGACAAGGGAUACAUUCGAGCCAGCUCCUCACCUUGGGGAUCACCAAUUUUAUUUGCCAAAAAGAAGGAUGGAACGCUGAGAUUGUGUAUUGACUAUCGAGCACUUAACAUGGUCACAGUCAAAAACAAAUACCCGAUGCCAAGGAUAAACGAUUUGUUUGAUCAACUCGCUCAGGCCAAGGUAUUCUCAAAAAUUGACUUAAGGUCAGGAUACCAUCAAUUGAAGGUACGAGCGGAAGAUAUCCCCAAAACAGCCUUCACCUCUAGAUAUGGACUGUACGAGUUCACAGUGAUGCCAUUUGGAUUAACUAACGCCCCAGCAUAUUUUGUUCACCUCAUGAACAAAGUAUUUAUGAAGUUUAUGGACAAGUUUGUCGUGGUAUUCAUCGACGAUAUUCUGGUAUACUCCAAGACACCAGAAGAGCACGCAGAACAUCUCAGGAUUGUGCUAGGAGAGCUCAGAAAACACCAAUUGUAUGCCAAGUUCAGCAAGUGCGAAUUUUGGCUAAGACAAGUAGGCUUUCUAGGCCACGUACUGACCCAAGACGGUAUCGCAGUGGACCCAGAGAAAGUCAAGGCCGUACUUGGCUGGAAGUCACCAGCCAGCGUAACGGACAUACGGAGUUUCUUGGGAAUGGCAGGAUAUUACCGCAGAUUUAUUGAAGGAUUCUCC